AACGAACGCUGGCGGCAUGCCUAACACAUGCAAGUCGAACGAUGGUCUUCUGAUCAUAUUGUCUCACGGGUGCGUAACGCGUGGGAAUCUGCCCUUGGGUUCGGAAUAACAUUUUGAAACGACUGCUAGUACCGGAUGAUGUCCAUAAGACCAAAGAUUUAUCGCCCGAGGAUGAGCCCGCGUCGGAUUCGCUAGUUGGUGGGGUAAAGGCAUACCAAUGCGACGAUCCGUAGCUGGUAUGAGAGGAUGAUCAGCGACACUGGGACUGAGACACGGCCCAGAAUACUACGGGAGGGAGCAGUGGGGAAUAUAGGAAUAUGGGGGCAAGGAUGAACCAGCACUGCCGGGUGAGUGAUGAAGGCGUUAGAGUUGUACAGCUGUUUUACCCGGGAAGAUACUGACUGUACCGGGAGAAUAAGCCCCGGCUAACUCCGUG
This 436-nucleotide ribosomal RNA is filed under the name uncultured bacterium. Its description in RNAcentral is "partial 16S ribosomal RNA". It matches the Rfam family "Bacterial small subunit ribosomal RNA", at positions 29 to 507 of the family's 1533-position model. The record is from RNAcentral.